This 864-nucleotide unclassified non-coding RNA is filed under the name Amphibalanus amphitrite. RNAcentral's name for it is "signal recognition particle 9 kDa protein-like, transcript variant X2". Lineage: Eukaryota; Metazoa; Arthropoda; Thecostraca; Balanomorpha; Balanidae. The record is from RNAcentral.
GCCCGUGUGUCACACACAGAUGUUAUGUGCACCGUAUAACCUACAUAACCAAGUUUGGUGCAUCAUUGGUGCGGAAUUGACAAAAAAUGACAUUCUUAAAGUCAUGGCCAGAGUUUGAAAAAGCUGUGGAACAUCUGUAUCUUGCAAAUCCCAUGAAGGUGAGAUACACAAUGAAGUAUGUCCAUUCGGACGGAGCACUUGUGGUGAAGAUAACCGACGACGUCAAGUGCGUGCAGUUUAAGACGGACUCUCAGAGUGAUCUGAAGAACAUCAACGUCCUAGUGGCCAACCUCAUGAGGCAUAUGGCGUCAAAAGAGGAGUGAUGCUGUGGUGUGAGACGAGUGUUGACAAUGUGACGAGCGCGCGUGGAGGUCGGCGUCGUCGGGUACGGCAGACUGAAGACGGCCGAUGGUGGCAGAUAAAAGUCUAACGGAGGCGCGGACGGACGGCCGGCAGUGGCAGGCUGGAACUCGGUGUUUGCAGAUAGUCGAUCGCGGAUGAUGAAAGGCGGUCAGCGGUGGCAAUGGUGACAAAUGUGAAGCAGAUGUUGACAGAUGGACUGUUGAAUGUGACGUGUGAACGGCAUAUGUGCAUGGGCAGGAGCUGUUGCCCUGCUGAAGGCUCUCACCUGUUGACUGAUGUGACCACUGAGUGUAUAUAAUGUCGUGCGCCACUAUGACGUCGGGGACGUCGGCGACGAGCGGCGGUGGACCGUGCCGCGGGGUAUUUAUGGGGUGUCAGGUUGACUAGGCUUGCCAGAGUUUUGAUUUUGUUUUCACUCAAUCAGUUGCCUUCUUUCUCGCUGUGGUGUGCGGUUUGUCCAUAGCAGAGUGAAAUAAUAUAUGAACUAGUGGUGGACAGGCA